This is a long non-coding RNA of Capsicum annuum, 452 nucleotides long. RefSeq lists it as uncharacterized. The record is from RefSeq and is a predicted model, not a curated record. Lineage: Eukaryota; Viridiplantae; Streptophyta; Magnoliopsida; Solanales; Solanaceae. The transcript has 2 exons.
UAUACACCAAUAUUUCGAAAAUAUUUUUGUGUGAAAAAAAAAAAGAAUAUGGAGAGGAAAAUUUUUGCUCUUUUGUUUCUCUUUUUCAUUUUGUUUACUUCACAAACGGCGUUCCGAGGGGCGGAGGGGAGAGUGUGCAUUUCGCAGAGCCACGGGUUCAAGGGUCCAUGCGGGCAUGACCACAACUGCGCGCUCGUUUGCCGUAACGAAGGCUUCUCUGGGGGAGACUGCAUUGGAGUUUUUAUUAGAAAGUGUUACUGCACUAAGAAUUGUUAAUUAAUUAAUUAGUGUCAUGAAAAUGACACUUAGUUAAUUUAUUAGUUCAUUAAUGCUUCUCUUUAGUCUUGUUUUAGGGAAUAAAAUUGUGUUGUACUAGUGUUUUUAGAGGGCAUUAUUAGUAUGUUUAUGAUGCUUGUAAUCUCUUAAUUUAGUAAUUCAAGUUUCUUUUGAUA